Molecule: ribosomal RNA, 240 nt
Filed under: uncultured bacterium
Lineage: Bacteria
Description: partial 16S ribosomal RNA
Rfam family: Bacterial small subunit ribosomal RNA
Source: RNAcentral
CCGGCGACGGGUGAGUAACACGUAUCCAACCUGCCGUCUACUCUUGGCCAGCCUUCUGAAAGGAAGAUUAAUCCAGGAUGGCAUCAUGAGUUCACAUGUCCGCAUGAUUAAAGGUAUUUUCCGGUAGACGAUGGGGAUGCGUUCCAUUAGAUAGUAGGCGGGGUAACGGCCCACCUAGUCAACGAUGGAUAGGGGUUCUGAGAGGAAGGUCCCCCACAUUGGAACUGAGACACGGUCCAA